GACCUUCAUCUUCCUUUUCUGCUGGAAAUCAGGGGCCUUGCAGGAACCCAAAGGGUCUUUCCUUGCUCAACUCUCCAGUCACUGCCUCUGCCCUGAAAUGGACACUGCUUUUCUUGACUGCUCAGGGAC
RNAcentral lists this small RNA (129 nucleotides) under Cricetulus griseus (Chinese hamster). Its description in RNAcentral is "Smith-Magenis syndrome chromosome region, candidate 2 conserved region 1 (ENSCGRG00001003277.1)". The record is from RNAcentral. Lineage: Eukaryota; Metazoa; Chordata; Mammalia; Rodentia; Cricetidae.